UAAGCGCUGGAAACGGCGUCUAAUACUGGAUAUGAGACGUGAUCGCAUGGUCGUGUUUGGAAAGAUUUUUCGGUCUGGGAUGGGCUCGCGGCCUAUCAGCUUGUUGGUGAGGUAAUGGCUCACCAAGGCGUCGACGGGUAGCCGGCCUGAGAGGGUGACCGGCCACACUGGGACUGAGACACGGCCCAGACUCCUACGGGAGGCAGCAGUGGGGAAUAUUGCACAAUGGGCGGAAGCCUGAUGCAGCAACGCCGCGUGAGGGAUGACGGCCUUCGGGUUGUAAACCUCUUUUAGCAGGGAAGAAGCGAAAGUGACGGUACCUGCAGAAAAAGCGCCGGCUAACUACGUGCCAGCAGCCGCGGUAAUACGUAGGGCGCAAGCGUUAUCCGGAAUUAUUGGGCGUAAAGAGCUCGUAGGCGGUUUGUCGCGUCUGCUGUGAAAUCCCGAGGCUCAACCUCGGGCCUGCAGUGGGUACGGGCAGACUAGAGUGCGGUAGGGGAGAUUGGAAUUCCUGGUGUAGCGGUGGAAUGCGCAGAUAUCAGGAGGAACACCGAUGGCGAAGGCAGAUCUCUGGGCCGUAACUGACGCUGAGGAGCGAAAGGGUGGGGAGCAAACAGGCUUAGAUACCCUGGUAGUCCACCCCGUAAACGUUGGGAACUAGUUGUGGGGACCAUUCCACGGUUUCCGUGACGCAGCUAACGCAUUAAGUUCCCCGCCUGGGGAGUACGGCCGCAAGGCUAAAACUCAAAGGAAUUGACGGGGACCCGCAC
RNAcentral lists this ribosomal RNA (770 nucleotides) under Microbacterium sp. RNAcentral describes it as "bacterial SSU rRNA". It matches the Rfam family "Bacterial small subunit ribosomal RNA", at positions 144 to 926 of the family's 1533-position model. Lineage: Bacteria; Bacillati; Actinomycetota; Actinomycetes; Micrococcales; Microbacteriaceae. The record is from RNAcentral.